This 379-nucleotide unclassified non-coding RNA is filed under the name uncultured bacterium. Its description in RNAcentral is "contains 16S-23S intergenic spacer region". The record is from RNAcentral.
UCCGGCUUAUCACCGGCAGUCCCUCUAGAGUGCCCAACUUAAUGAUGGCAACUAAAGGCAAGGGUUGCGCUCGUUGCGGGACUUAACCCAACAUCUCGCGACACGAGCUGACGACAGCCAUGCAGCACCUGUGUUCAGGCUCCCUUUCGGGCACCUCUGCAUUUCUGCAGAGUUCCUGACAUGUCAAGGGUAGGUAAGGUUUUUCGCGUUGCAUCGAAUUAAACCACAUCAUCCACCGCUUGUGCGGGCCCCCGUCAAUUCCUUUGAGUUUUAAUCUUGCGACCGUACUCCCCAGGCGGGGUACUUCCUGCGUUAGCGCCGGCACCCAGAGGGUCGCUCCCCCAGGCACCUAGUACCCAUCGUUUACGGCGUGGACUAC